This is a long non-coding RNA of Halichondria panicea, 1022 nucleotides long. RefSeq lists it as uncharacterized. The record is from RefSeq and is a predicted model, not a curated record. Lineage: Eukaryota; Metazoa; Porifera; Demospongiae; Suberitida; Halichondriidae. The transcript is spliced from 2 exons.
ACACUGUUAAAAAUGGGGUGUUACGUAGCACACUAAUUUUAGUAGGUAAAUGUCAGUGGUGUGUUAAUGAACACACUCGUGUGUUUGUCGUGCUCAACAACACACUUGGAGUGUAAUAGAACACACUCGGGUGACACAACAGAAUGGUGUGUUACUGAACACUCUGACAUCCAUACAGUGGUGUAAAGUAGCACACGAUAUAUAAGAUAUUAAGAAGGUCUUUUUACUUUUCAGAUACCAGAAUUAAUAUUUAUGUUCCACUUAGUACAGUUAGAUCACCAAGAGUGCUAAGUAUGUGCAAGUGAAAUAAGAGUUGAAAUGCUGCAGUCCCUGCAAAUACGGGAAACAACUUGCUAUCACUCUCAAAGGAAGCUUUAUACUUUGCAAACCCAGAAAUCCAGGUCCUAAAAGUAUGGCUAUAGUAUAUAGAAGCCUGCAAUGCAUGUAGAAUCUCUACAUGCAUGCUAUACUAGAGCUAAGUGGCUAAGUCCGGACCUUCUGUGUGCGCAUGCGCAUUGAGGCUAGAAGCACAUGUAGUGUGCUUUAAUUAAAAUCAACAACAAGAAGAACUGGAGAAGAACUCAAUUUAGCUCUGCACUAACUGCACUGAGUAUUUAGCUUUCCUGAAGAAUAUACACUGCUGCAGCACUUCAUGGAGCUUCCAAAGGCCAUUCAUGUGCCCAGAACUUGACCUCAUUCUUGACCUGAGCACUGUUUGGGUAUAGAAGUGACUAUUCUCUGGGACAUACUAACUGCUAUAAAUGUGCAGAAAAGUAUCCAGAUACGUGGAGUAAUAGAUAUGCUUACCAGACAUAAUUGUAUUUAUUAUUUAGGAUGAGAUACAAGAUGACUUCAAUCAAAAUGUGCUACUGCUGCUGUGCGCUCUUUCGUCAAAAAGGAAACAUGUGAUGUGCUGUCAUUAACAGUAAUGUGUUAUGUAAUAAUCUGUAUAACAUUUAAAUAGUCGUUCGUUGUAUAUAUGUUUUUGAUUUGUGUUAAAUGACUUGUACAUUUCGUUGAAA